This 161-nucleotide ribosomal RNA is filed under the name Bacillus wiedmannii. RNAcentral's name for it is "partial 16S ribosomal RNA". It matches the Rfam family "Bacterial small subunit ribosomal RNA", at positions 1 to 155 of the family's 1533-position model. The record is from RNAcentral. Lineage: Bacteria; Bacillati; Bacillota; Bacilli; Caryophanales; Bacillaceae.
UUUAUUGGAGAGUUUGAUCCUGGCUCAGGAUGAACGCUGGCGGCGUGCCUAAUACAUGCAAGUCGAGCGAAUGGAUUGAGAGCUUGCUCUCAAGAAGUUAGCGGCGGACGGGUGAGUAACACGUGGGUAACCUGCCCAUAAGACUGGGAUAACUCCGGGAA